UACAGAGGUGGCAAGCGUUGUUCGGAAUUACUGGGCGUAAAGGGCGCGUAGGCGGCCUUCUAAGUCAGACGUGAAAUCCCCCGGCUUAACCUGGGAACUGCGUCUGAUACUGGAACGUUGGAGUGCGGGAGAGGUAAGCGGAAUUCCUGGUGUAGCGGUGAAAUGCGUAGAUAUCAGGAGGAACACCUGCGGUGUAGACGGCUUACUGGACCGUAACUGACGCUGAGGCACGAAAGCGUGGGUAGCAAACAGG
Molecule: ribosomal RNA, 253 nt
Filed under: uncultured bacterium
Lineage: Bacteria
Description: partial 16S ribosomal RNA
Rfam family: Bacterial small subunit ribosomal RNA
Source: RNAcentral